AACGCUGGCGGCGCGCUUAACACAUGCAAGUCGAGCGCGAAAGGGGAGCAAUCCCUGAGUACAGCGGCGUACGGGUGAGUAACACGUGGGUAAUCUGCCUUUUAGUGGGGAAUAACCCUGGGAAACCGGGGCUAAUACCGCAUAAUCCUGUGAAGGGAAAGCAGCAAUGAGCUGAAAGAGGAGCCCGCGGCCGAUUAGCUAGUUGGUGAGGUAACGGCUCACCAAGGCGGUGAUCGGUAGCCGGCCUGAGAGGGCACACGGCCACACUGGCACUGAAACACGGGCCAGACUCCUACGGGAGGCAGCAGUGGGGAAUCUUGCACAAUGGAGGCAACUCUGAUGCAGCGACGCCGCGUGAGCGAUGAAGCCCCUCGGGGUGUAAAGCUCUUUCGGCAGGGACGAUAAUGACGGUACCUGAAGAAGAAGCUGCG
This 431-nucleotide ribosomal RNA is filed under the name uncultured bacterium. RNAcentral's name for it is "bacterial SSU rRNA". It matches the Rfam family "Bacterial small subunit ribosomal RNA", at positions 32 to 495 of the family's 1533-position model. The record is from RNAcentral.